Molecule: ribosomal RNA, 754 nt
Filed under: uncultured archaeon
Lineage: Archaea
Description: bacterial SSU rRNA
Rfam family: Archaeal small subunit ribosomal RNA
Source: RNAcentral
AGUCAACAUGCCCAGGGGACGUGGAUAACCUCGGGAAACUGAGGAUAAACCGCGAUAGGUCAUAAUGUCUGGAAUGAUUUAUGGCUGAAAUCUAUAUGGCCUCUGGAUUGGACUGCGGCCGAUCAGGCUGUUGGUGAGGUAAUGGCCCACCAAACCUAAAACCGGUACGGGCUCUGAGAGGAGAAGCCCGGAGAUGGGCACUGAGACAAGGGCCCAGGCCCUAUGGGGCGCAGCAGGCGCGAAAACUCUGCAAUAGGCGAAAGCUUGACAGGGUUAUUCUGAGUGAUUUCCGCUAAGGAGAUCUUUUGGCACCUCUAAAAAUGGUGCAGAAUAAGGGGUGGGCAAGCCUGGUGUCAGCCGCCGCGGUAAUACCAGCACCCCGAGUGGUCGGGACGAUUAUUGGGCCUAAAGCAUCCGUAGCCGGUUCUACAAGUCUUCCGUUAAAUCCACCUGCUUAACAGUUGGGCUGCAGAGGAUACUAUAGAGCUAGGAGGCGGGAGAGGCAAGCGGUACUUAGUGGGUAGGGGUAAAAUCCGUUGAUCCACUGAAGACCACCAGUGGCGAAGGCGGCUUGCCAGAACGCGCUCGACGGUGAGGGAUGAAAGCUGGGGGAGCAAACCGGAUUAGAUACCCGGGUAGUCCUAGCUGUAAACGAUGCAGACUCGGUGAUGAAUAAGCUUCGUGCUUAUUCAGUGCCGCAGGGAAGCCGUUAAGUCUGCCGCCUGGGGAGUACGGUCGCAAGACUGAAACUUAA